AGGAGAUAGAGCGUGUGCUUAAAACAGCUCUCAAUGGGAGGAAAGAAACUGAGGGGAGGCUGAUCUGUCAUUAAAUAGGGAUUGAUCCUUCUCUUUAAGUAAAUGUGAAGCUGCAAAUGAACUCAAUAUCACUUGAAGGGUCCUCUUCAGUAGCAGGUGAUGCUAUACAAUGAUUUAAGGUUGAAAUGACAAGGUUUCCACCCCUUAAAUCCUGGCUACUUUGUGACAGUGCAUCGCAACACUGAUAUUUUCAUUCACUCAGCAAACAGGAUUGGAGCUGAGCAGAGCAGAGGGACAAAAGAGUUUUCUAAUCCUUGAUCUCGCAGAUUAUUUUUAGGAAUUUAUUGGAAUCCCUGCUGGAGGAAUGGAUGGAUUUGAGAAAAUGUGUUAGAUCUUUUGGAUGAACACUAAUAGGGUUCUUUGCUCCUGGCUGGAUUACUCAGAGAACUGCAAUGGUCUCUGCGAUGUCCUGGUUCCUGUAUAUGUGGAUAAGUGCCAGUGCCAUGCUGUUCUGUCAAGCAACUCUUUAUGACACCAUACAGCAGCACCACCUACCAAGGCCAGGUAGGAGCGCUCUCGAGAUCCUAGAAGGAGGUACGUGUGAGGUGAUAGCCGCACACAGGUGCUGUAACAAGAACCGAAUUGAAGAAAGGUCACAAACAGUAAAGUGCUCCUGUCUACCAGGGAAAGUCGCUGGGACAACGAGAAACAAACCCUCCUGUGUUGAUGCUUCCAUAGUUAUUGGGAAAUGGUGGUGUGAGAUGGAACCCUGCCUGGAAGGAGAAGAGUGCAAGACAUUACCUGAUAAUUCAGGAUGGAUGUGCUCUUCAGGCAACAAAAUCAAGACCACAAGGAAUACACAGCCUUAUUCAUCUUUUUAGCCUUGGACUCAAAGAUCAAAGAAGGCCUUAAAUCAUGUAUGAUAGAGAUGGAGCAUCACAUGUUUCUAAAAAGAAAGGGAACAUCGUUGCCUAUUUCACCAGACCAGGGCAAGCAGCAAUGAGAAGCCCCAGUGAUCUUAGCUGAUGCCAUCUAUCAAAAGCCCUUCUAAGAUCUCCAUGAUCUUCCUUGUGGCUAAAUUAAUUUAUCUUAGUUUAUAUGACUUGUUUUCAAUAAAGCUUUCAAGCAGUUAAGCUUAGAUUGUUAAGUUUAGAUUGUUUAAUUUUCCACAAAGCAUAUGUUUUCUAUUCGAAGAACAGAAGAUGCUGUGUAAUAAUCCAACAUAAGUGGUUUGAAUUCUCACUUUUAAAAUGGUAAUCUGUCAUCAGUUUUCAGGGCAAAAAAAAUGGUUUGCUAUUUCAUACUUGGCUUUCAAUUUGAAAAAAAAAAGUUAUAAAAAAGUUAUGAUUAAAUUGAACUUAAUUUAACUUUAAGUUAAAUGAAAUUUGGUGGAUGUAGUUUUCCAUUCCACCCUGUCUAUCAUCAUGAGAUUAAUCAGAAAGAGUUUUUGAUACAUGUAGGGAUGUUUUUAGUGUUGGUGAGCGGGAUCCAAAAUUGUACAAUGCUUCCAACAGGAAAUUGGUCAAACGAUUUUAUAAGCAAAUGUAAAUGCUGUCACAGGCUUUAUAACGACUUUUUAAAAAGAUUUUACAUAACUAAUUGCACACCUAUAUAGUGGUACUAGAUUGAGACAUUGAAUAUUUUCUCAAAUAAAACAGGUUAUUAAUAAUAAUAAUAAUAAUAAUAAUAAUAAUAAUAAUAAUAAUAAUAAUAAUAAUAAUAAUAUUUGUAUUGCUUUUAUUGUGCUGCUUUAAAUGUACAUUACAGGAUGCAUAAGGUUAUUGGUAAAUUAUACAGUGAAAAAAAACUGAAGAAAAACCAAAAACCCUGCUACAGCAUUAUUCCAUUGCCUACCAAACCUCAUUUUAUUUGUGCUCCCUUCAGUGACAGCUGUAGAAAAGGACAGCGGUAACACAAAUUAAUCUUUGUCCAAGUUUGUUCUUUAGUGUGACAUGUGUCUACUUACUUCUGACUAAGUGAAUCUGUUGGCUCCUUUCCUUCAACCACAGACAUAUUGGGAUUGACAUUCAUUGUGAGUGGUGAUUAGGUCUUGGCAGCUUUAUUAAUACAGGCAUUAGAGUCCCUGUGGACAAGUUUUAGCAUACCUGGCCUUUAUUGAGAAAAAAUAUGCAAAAUGACUGGAAAUAUUCUAAAUUUCUAAAUCUACCCACAGGGGUCAUUUUAAUUAGCCAGAGUGUAUGCAUAACACCCUGAAUCCUGAUACAGAAACAAAUCAUACUUUAAUCACAUGAACACGUCUUUAUCUGUCAUCAAGACUGAUGAAGGUUAAGCAAAACAUCCUCACGGUCGUGGAUUUCAUUUUUAAUAUACUUUAUUUGUCAUGUGCUGUAAAUCUUCAUAUCCAACAAUACAGACUAGUUUAUACUGUGUAUUUAUCAUCAAGCACAUAAAUAAGGUUACUAAAUACUCAGUGUAUAUACACAGUGCACAAAAGUAUUGACAUCCUCCUGUCUUGACUUCAAAAUGCUCUAAUUCACAUUGCUAUUACAACUUAGGAAAUGAGGUUAUGUAAUAUUAGAAAAUUCUUCUCAAUAAUUGUACGGUUUUGUAAAUUACAGCCUUUUGCAUUGAAAAGCAGGAUGUUUAUUAUGGUUGUCAAACAUCUUGAGUUAACUCAAAUACACACAAAUAAUAAUAAACCAUACUUAAAUCUAAGGAAAACCUUUAAAUAAACUGACCCUAGUGUGAAUAGAAGGAGAUAUGUUGUUAGUUUUACUGUUUAAAAAAAACAACCUUGAAAUACAAACUAUAUUAGUGGAUAUUACAAGUGUGUUCAAACAAUACUUUCAAGAAUAGAUAUCGAUAACUGACUAGGAUCUAAAAAUCACUGCAAGUGGGACUUUAUAAUUGCAGGUAUUUGGAUAAUAGAAGUGAAAUAGUUCCCACUUCCCAGCAGAUCAAAUUGGAAUUUCUUAGACUUUAUAAAGUUGAAAACAGCACAUUAGGUACAAAAUGUAAAUGUAUUGUAUUAUAAAUGGUUUCUCUCUGUAGUAUUGACAUUUGUAUCGCUUUGAUAGUGAACGCUUGCUAAGAUAUUUGUUUGUUUGUUGUACAUGAAAAAGUAAUAAACUUUGUAUUUCUGAAACAUGUAGUCUCUUGUUAUUUUUUAAAAAUGGCAUGGUGGAUGGGUUACAUUAGGUUUGUACGUUUCAUAAUUUCUGCACAGAUUAUUAUUAUUUUUUACUACUGGGGAUGAGUUGAAGUAAUUUAAAAACCUGCAUUAGAGAUUACAUUGUACUUACUGAGUAUCAGUGGUGCGGUCCUAAAAGUACCGGAAUGCUAAAUAAAAUAUAGAUUUUUCUAAAAAAAAAUGUUACAAACUCCCGUUUUAUUUGUACAUUGAACUUGAGGUAACAUUUAAUAGGUAGUGCAUGUGUCCCGCAAGAGACUUUUAGGUUACUCCCCCAGUGCUGCCAGAUUGGUGUUUUUCCGGGCAAAUUUGGCUUGUUUGGAAACAAUCUAGUGGGUUAAUGUUGUCUUUGGAGGUUCAGUUAUUUUUUGGCUGUUUAUAUCAUGCUCUUUUUUUCUAUUACUUUUGAUUUGAUUCUGAGUGUACCAUCAAAAUUGGUAUGUAGGGAAUCAGACACUGAGUUUUUUGUUCCUAGUGCCUAUUCAAUGGAAAGACUAAUUUGAUUUCCCGACAGAAAAUAGAUUGCUUCAUUGAUGCUCAGGCACUGAAAUUAGAGCAGUUGGCCGCUAUAUAAGCAUUUUCAUAACAAAUCGGUAAAUGUUCUUAGAUAAUUCUUAAGUCAAGGUUCUGCCUAUAGAAAAAAGUGCUGGAAUGGCAUUCCGGCUCAACUACACCACUGCUGUGUAUAAAUCAUGGUGCUUAGUUAGGGCUUUAACUAUGAGAGUUCAUUUGAAUGCCCAAAAUUCCAUAAUAAAACCUCUGAAAUCAGUUAAAAACAAAGGUUCCUCAAAAGGUACACUGCUGCGCAAAAGUCUUAGACAUGUUGCAUUUUUCUACCUGAUGCAUUAUGAGCAUCAACAAUUUACUCAAAGCCUCCACUGGUGUUUUCUACUAUCAUAACAACCUUGACUUGCAUAAAGAAGGAAAAACAUUGAGUGAAAUAGCUCACAUCACUCGAUUUUCAAGGUGUGGUAUCAAAGCUGUUUGCACGAUUAAAAUUGUGUACCUCUCAAAAGCAAUGCUUACUUGACGGUUGCUCAUUAGUCAUGUCAAUAUUUUCUCGUUGUUUGUGUACCCAAGAGAUAAUAUAUAUUACGUUUGCAGGAAAGUGAUAUAUAAUGCCCUGAUCAUUUAUCAAGUUCCUAAUGUUUUAUUGUAUUUUCUUUGUCACUGAAGCCUAUGUACAAUGUUGUUUUGACUAAAUAAGAAAGUAAUUUAUAAGACAAGUCACAUUUAGCCAGUUUUCUGGUAACUGGGAAUAGAAAGAUUAGUUUAAAAAUGUUUUCUAAAAUAUU
This is an RNA transcript of Acipenser ruthenus (sterlet), 4446 nucleotides long. It is a transcript of the gene named chemokine-like protein TAFA-1, with no coding region annotated. The transcript has 6 exons. The record is from RefSeq and is a predicted model, not a curated record. Lineage: Eukaryota; Metazoa; Chordata; Actinopteri; Acipenseriformes; Acipenseridae.